This 1330-nucleotide ribosomal RNA is filed under the name metagenome. Its description in RNAcentral is "bacterial LSU rRNA". It matches the Rfam family "Bacterial large subunit ribosomal RNA", at positions 1574 to 2925 of the family's 2925-position model. The record is from RNAcentral.
CCUCGGGGCGAAGUAGCUGAUUUCACACUGUCAAGAAAAGCUUCUAUCGAGUUUAAAGGCGCCCGUACCGUAAACCGACACAGGUGGUGAGGAGAGUAUCCUAAGGCCAGCGAGAGAACUAUUGUUAAGGAACUCGGCAAAAUGACCCCGUAACUUAGGGAGAAGGGGUGCCUGUCUAUGACAGGCCGCAGAGAAUAGGCCCAAGCGACUGUUUACCAAAAACACAGGUUUCUGCUAAGUCGCAAGACGAUGUAUAGGAGCUGACGCCUGCCCGGUGCUGGAAGGUUAAGGGGAUCUGUUAGAGCAAUCGAAGCAGUGAACUUAAGCCCCAGUAAACGGCGGCCGUAACAAUAACGGUCCUAAGGUAGCGAAAUUCCUUGUCGGGUAAGUUCCGACCCGCACGAAAGGCGUAACGAUUUGGGCACUGUCUCAACAAUAGACUCGGUGAAAUUGUAAUCCCGGUGAAGAUGCCGGGUACCUGCGACAGGACGGAAAGACCCCAUGGAGCUUUACUGUAGCUUGACGUUGGGUCUUGGUACUACAUGUACAGGAUAGGUGGGAGACUAUGAAGCAUGGACGCCAGUCUGUGUGGAGUCAUCCUUGGGAUACCACCCUUGUAGUACUGGGAUCCUAACCAUAGGCCUUGAAUCAGGUCUUGGAACACCGUCAGGUGGGCAGUUUGACUGGGGCGGUCGCCUCCUAAAAAGUAACGGAGGCGCUCAAAGGUUUCCUCAGCACGGUCGGAAAUCGUGCGAAGAGUGUAAAGGCAAAAGGAAGCUUGAUUGCAAGACAUACAGGUCGAGCAAGGACGAAAGUCGGACUUAGUGAUCCGGUGGUACCGCAUGGAAGGGCCAUCGCUCAACGGAUAAAAGCUACCCUGGGGAUAACAGGCUUAUCUCCCCCAAGAGUCCACAUCGACGGGGAGGUUUGGCACCUCGAUGUCGGCUCAUCACAUCCUGGGGCUGUAGUAGGUCCCAAGGGUUGGGCUGUUCGCCCAUUAAAGUGGUACGCGAGCUGGGUUCAGAACGUCGUGAGACAGUUCGGUCCCUAUCCGUCGCAGGCGUAGGAAAUUUGAGAAGACCUGUCCUUAGUACGAGAGGACCGGGAUGGACGUACCUCUGGUGUACCAGUUGUUCUGCCAAGGGCAUGGCUGGGUAGCUAUGUACGGAAUGGAUAAGCGCUGAAAGCAUCUAAGCGCGAAGCCAACUUCAAGAUAAGAUUUCCCACCGUAAGGGUAAGACCCCAGGAAGACUACCUGGUUGAUAGGUCGAAGGUGUAAGUGCAGUAAUGUAUUUAGCUUAUCGAUACUAAUAGGUCGAGGACUUGACCG